UACGGGGGGUGCAAGCGUUGUUCGGAAUUACUGGGCGUAAAGGGCGCGUAGGCGGUUCGCUAAGUUGGAUGUGAAAACUCUGGGCUCAACCCAGAGCCUGCAUCCAAAACUGGCGGGCUAGAGUUCUGGAGGGGGUAGCGGAAUUCCUGGUGUAGCGGUGAAAUGCGUAGAUAUCAGGAGGAACACCGGUGGCGAAGGCGGCUACCUGGACAGAAACUGACGCUGAGGCGCGAAAGCUAGGGGAGCAAACAGG
This 253-nucleotide ribosomal RNA is filed under the name uncultured bacterium. RNAcentral's name for it is "partial 16S ribosomal RNA". It matches the Rfam family "Bacterial small subunit ribosomal RNA", at positions 524 to 776 of the family's 1533-position model. The record is from RNAcentral.